UCGGGAAUAUUGCGCAAUGGAGGAAACUCUGACGCAGUGACGCCGCGUGCAGGAAGAAGGUUUUCGGAUUGUAAACUGCUUUAGACAGGGAAGAAACAAGACAGUACCUGUAGAAUAAGCUCCGGCUAACUACGUGCCAGCAGCCGCGGUAAUACGUAGGGAGCAAGCGUUAUCCGGAUUUAUUGGGUGUAAAGGGUGCGUAGACGGGAAGUCAAGUUAGUUGUGAAAUCCCUCGGCUCAACUGAGGAACUGCAACUAAAACUAACUUUCUUGAGUGCUGGAGAGGAAAGUGGAAUUCCUAGUGUAGCGGUGAAAUGCGUAGAUAUUAGGAGGAACACCAGUGGCGAAGGCGACUUUCUGGACAGUAACUGACGUUGAGGCACGAAAGUGUGGGGAGCAAACA
This 403-nucleotide ribosomal RNA is filed under the name uncultured bacterium. RNAcentral's name for it is "bacterial SSU rRNA". It matches the Rfam family "Bacterial small subunit ribosomal RNA", at positions 355 to 774 of the family's 1533-position model. The record is from RNAcentral.